GUUUGAACUCAUGGUAAAUUAUGUUUUAGAUGAGUCAGACGCUAUCCUGAUUGUCUCCUCACUGGGAAAGCUCAAAAGUUGCUUGACCAUGAUGGGAAUUGAACCCGCGACCUUUGGUUUAUUAGUGCGAUGCUCGACCGACUGAACAUACGUCGUCAAGUCGGUUCGAGAACAUGACCUAUACCAUUUCGCGAGUACUCAGUACAUAUAUUUUCGGUAUAUGGUAUUCAAUAUGAUUAAUGGUAUUCGAUAUGAUUAAAGGUAUUUAAUGUAAAGAUGAUG
This is a non-coding RNA of Paramuricea clavata, 282 nucleotides long. The record is from the annotation of a GenBank genome assembly. NCBI's taxonomy places the organism in Eukaryota, Metazoa, Cnidaria, Anthozoa, Malacalcyonacea, Plexauridae.